This 468-nucleotide ribosomal RNA is filed under the name uncultured bacterium. RNAcentral describes it as "partial 16S ribosomal RNA". It matches the Rfam family "Bacterial small subunit ribosomal RNA", at positions 28 to 507 of the family's 1533-position model. The record is from RNAcentral.
GAUGAACGCUGGCGGCGUGCUUAACACAUGCCAGUCGAACGGACAGGCCCUGAUUUUGUGGGGUGCUCGAGUGGCGAACGGGUGAGUAACACGCGUGUAAAACGCACUUGACUUUGGGAUAACUCCACGAAACUGGGGCUCAUAUCGGAUAGGAGCUACUGCUGCAUGGUGGGGGUUGGAAAGUUUCGGCGGUUGGGGAUGGACUCGCGGCUUAUCGGCUUGUUGGUGGGGUAGUGGCUUACCAAGGCUUUGACGGGUAGCCGGCCUGGGAGGGUGACCAGCCACAUUGCGACUGAGAUACGGCGCAGACGCCUACGGUAGGCAGCAGUCGAGAAUAUUGCACAAUGGGCGGAAGCCUGAGGCAGCGACGCCGCGUGCGUGAAGACGGCCUUCUGGUUGUAAACCGCUUUCUCCUGUGACGAAGCGUGAUUGACGGUAAUGAGUAAAGAAGCACCGGCUAACUACGUG